This 451-nucleotide ribosomal RNA is filed under the name uncultured bacterium. RNAcentral's name for it is "bacterial SSU rRNA". It matches the Rfam family "Bacterial small subunit ribosomal RNA", at positions 29 to 524 of the family's 1533-position model. The record is from RNAcentral.
AACGAACGCUGGCGGCAUGCCUAACACAUGCAAGUCGAACGAACCCUUCGGGGUUAGUGGCGCACGGGUGCGUAACACGUGGAAUCUGCCCUUUGCUUCGGAAUAACAGUUAGAAAUGACUGCUAAUACCGGAUGAUGUCGUAAGACCAAAGAUUUAUCGGCAAAGGAUGAGCCCGCGUAGGAUUAGGUAGUUGGUGGGGUAAAAGGCCUACCAAGCCGACGAUCCUUAGCUGGUCUGAGAGGAUGAUCAGCCACACUGGGACUGAGACACGGCCCAGACUCCUACGGGAGGCAGCAGUGGGGAAUAUUGGACAAUGGGCGAAAGCCUGAUCCAGCAAUGCCGCGUGAGUGAUGAAGGCCUUCGGUUGUAAGACUCUUUUACCUAGGGAUGAUAAUGACAGUACCUGGAGAAUAAGACUCCGGCUAACUCCGUGCCAGCAGCCGCGGUAAU